Molecule: ribosomal RNA, 553 nt
Filed under: uncultured bacterium
Lineage: Bacteria
Description: bacterial SSU rRNA
Rfam family: Bacterial small subunit ribosomal RNA
Source: RNAcentral
CUACGGGAGGCAGCAGUGGGGAAUUUUCCGCAAUGGGCGAAAGCCUGACGGAGCAAUACCGCGUGAGGGAAGACGGCCUAUGGGUUGUAAACCUCUUUUUUCAGGGAGGAAUUUUGACGUGUACCUGAAGAAUAAGCAUCGGCUAACUCCGUGCCAGCAGCCGCGGUAAGACGGAGGAUGCAAGUGUUAUCCGGAAUCACUGGGCGUAAAGCGUCUGUAGGUGGUUGAACAAGUCAACUGUUAAAUCUUGAGGCUCAACUUCAAAAUCGCAGUCGAAACUGUUUGACUAGAGUAUAGUAGGGGUAAAGGGAAUUUCCAGUGGAGCGGUGAAAUGCGUAUAUAUUGGAAAGAACACCGAUGGCGAAGGCACUUUACUGGGCUAUUACUGACACUCAGAGACGAAAGCUAGGGUAGCAAAUGGGAUUAGAUACCCCAGUAGUCCUAGCCGUAAACAAUGGAUACUAGAUGUUGAACAGAUCGACCUGUGCAGUAUCAAAGCUAACGCGUUAAGUAUCCCGCCUGGGAAGUAUGCUCGCAAGAGUGAAACUCAAAG